AUUGAACGCUGGCGGCAGGCCUAACACAUGCAAGUCGAGCGGUUGCAGGGAGCUUGCUCCUGGAUUCAGCGGCGGACGGGUGAGUAAUGCCUAGGAAUCUGCCUGGUCGUGGGGGAUAACGUCCGGAAACGGGCGCUAAUACCGCAUCCGUCCUGAGGGAGAAAGUGGGGGAUCUUCGGACCUCACGCUAUCAGAUGAGCCUAGGUCGGAUUAGCUAGUUGGUGGGGUAAAGGCCUACCAAGGCGACGAUCCGUAACUGGUCUGAGAGGAUGAUCAGUCACACUGGAACUGAGACACGGUCCAGACUCCUACGGGAGGCAGCAGUGGGGAAUAUUGGACAAUGGGCGAAAGCCUGAUCCAGCCAUGCCGCGUGUGUGAAGAAGGUCUUCGGAUUGUAAAGCACUUUAAGUUGGGAGGAAGGGAAGUAAGUUAAUACCUUGCUGUUUUGACGUUACCAACAGAAUAAGCACCGGCUAACUUCGUG
Molecule: ribosomal RNA, 484 nt
Filed under: uncultured bacterium
Lineage: Bacteria
Description: partial 16S ribosomal RNA
Rfam family: Bacterial small subunit ribosomal RNA
Source: RNAcentral